Molecule: long non-coding RNA, 710 nt
Organism: Acinonyx jubatus (cheetah)
Lineage: Eukaryota; Metazoa; Chordata; Mammalia; Carnivora; Felidae
Exons: 3
Source: RefSeq, a predicted model, not a curated record
CAGCACGUGACGAGAGCCGCUAUGCUACUGCGCGCCAUCUUGGCUUGGCCCGGAGAGCCCUUCUGAGGAGUAUAUUCACCAAGUGGCUUAGUUUCCUUAGAUCUUUGGUGGAAGACAGGAAAAUCUGAGUAAUUCUGAUUAUGGGGAGGGAAUGAAACGGAACUUUUUAACUGUGGGACAGCAAAAAGACCUGGGUCAGAAUCCUCCACCAUUUAUUGGCUGCAUGGCCUUGGGUAAGUCAUGGAUUCAGUUUUCUCAACCACAGAAUGGGACCAGUAUCACCUACCUUGCAGGAUCAUGAGAAUUAAGUGUUAUCGUGUAAAGUUCCUAGUAUAGUACCAAGGGCACAAAGUCAUCAUCACCACCACUAUCAAGCCUCGUGCAAAAAUCCAAAUUGGCAAAAAAAUAUUUAUGCAAAUAUCCAAAAGUGAUUUUUAAAGAAAGAUACACAAGUCAAUCUUCUAAGAUUCUGAAAACCCUGUCACCUGCUUUAUUUCUGGAGGAGAGUAAAGGUAGAAGAGAAAAUAUUCACUUGAAUUUGAGGGGGAGCUUAAUGGGAAGCAAUAGUAGCAACAAUUUUAGGCUUCUAAGGCUCCUCUCUGAUCACAAGGGAAGGCUGAAAUUUCCUUGUUUGGAGAUUCAAGAGUUUAAUUUUUCCCUAGAGCAAGAUCUUCCAUUUUUGCUGGGAUAAAAGAAUAAAGAACAACAAA